GAUGAACGCUAGCUACAGGCUUAACACAUGCAAGUCGAGGGGUAACGAGAGGGAAGCUUGCUUUCCUUGUCGACGACCGGCGCACGGGUGAGUAACGCGUAUCCAACCUGCCCCCAACUAGGGAAUAACCUUGCGAAAGUAAGACUAAUACCCUAUAAUUUCCUCAGAUGUCAUCUGACGAGGAAUAAAGAUUUAUCGGUUGUGGAUGGGGAUGCGUCUGAUUAGCUUGUUGGCGGGGUAACGGCCCACCAAGGAAACGAUCAGUAGGGGUUCUGAGAGGAAGGUCCCCCACAUUGGAACUGAGACACGGUCCAAACUCCUACGAGAGGCAGCAGUGAGGAAUAUUGGUCAAUGGGCGGAAGCCUGAACCAGCCAAGUAGCGUGCAGGAUGACGGCCCUAUGGGUUGUAAACUGCUUUUAUACAGGAAUAAAGUUAGCCACGUGUGGUUAUUUGUAGGUACUGUAUGAAUAAGGACCGGCUAAUUCCGUGCCAGCAGCCGCGGUAA
This 506-nucleotide ribosomal RNA is filed under the name uncultured bacterium. RNAcentral's name for it is "partial 16S ribosomal RNA". It matches the Rfam family "Bacterial small subunit ribosomal RNA", at positions 28 to 523 of the family's 1533-position model. The record is from RNAcentral.